GAAACCGUUCAGGGGUAAACCUGAGAAACCCAAAAGAUCGAAUGGGGAGAUUCAUCGUCGACGAAGCUGGCUCCCGUUGGUGCGCGAUACCCCGAAUGGGCCUUAACCGUUCCAAGGCGAGGGUACACCACCUGCGGCGAACGAUCCGGCGACGUAGUCGUGCACUUCUCCCUUAGUAGAACGUCGCGACCCGUUGUGUGUCGGUCUACGGCCUGGGCUAAUUGCCUGUCGCGGCGCCAUCGUACGCUCGCGGCAGAGGCUCGGUCGCCUGGCCGGCUGCACGACGGUACUCUGACGGUAUCGGGCCGCAACCAAUCCAUUCUCGAAUGUGUGUGCGUCGGACCCGUCGCAAGCUCGGACAGAUUUACUCGGAGUGUGCGGACCUAGUGCCCUCACCGGGUCUGGCCAGCUGUUGGCAGACGGUGUUCUUGGACUGGCCAAGCUUUGAAUUACCGGUCGGCGACGCUACUGCUUUGGGUACUCUCAGGACCCGUCUUGAAACACGGACCAAGGAGUCUAACAUGUGCGCGAGUCAUUGGGACAUGUAAACCUAAAGGCGCAAUGAAAGUGAAGGUCGGCCUCGGCGUCGACCAAGGGAGGAUGGGCCGCUUACGUCCCGGCCCCGCACUCCCGGGGCGUCUCGUUCUCAUUGCGAGAAGAGGCGCACCCAGAGCGUACACGUUGGGACCCGAAAGAUGGUGAACUAUGCCUGGUCAGGACGAAGUCAGGGGAAACCCUGAUGGAGGUCCGUAGCGAUUCUGACGUGCAAAUCGAUCGUCGGAACUGGGUAUAGGGGCGAAAGACUAAUCGAACCAUCUAGUAGCUGGUUCCCUCCGAAGUUUCCCUCAGGAUAGCUGGCACUCGCUCGUUCCUCCGUGAACGUGUGCGAGUUUCAUCUGGUAAAGCGAAUGAUUAGAGGCCUUGGGGCCGAAACGACCUCAACCUAUUCUCAAACUUUAAAUGGGUGAGAUCUCUGGCUUGCUUGGAUCAUAUUGAAGCCAAGAGAUUUUGAAUCAGAGUGCCAAGUGGGCCAAUUUUGGUAAGCAGAACUGGCGCUGUGGGAUGAACCAAACGCAGAGUUAAGGCGCCUAAGUCGACGCUUAUGGGAUACCAUGAAAGGCGUUGGUUGCUUAAGACAGCAGGACGGUGGCCAUGGAAGUCGGAA
Molecule: ribosomal RNA, 1165 nt
Filed under: Leioproctus irroratus
Lineage: Eukaryota; Metazoa; Arthropoda; Insecta; Hymenoptera; Colletidae
Description: eukaryotic LSU rRNA
Rfam family: Eukaryotic large subunit ribosomal RNA
Source: RNAcentral